CGUGUAGUUAAGCACAAUUUGUGGGUAACCAUGUAAACUCGCUAAGUGUUGUGAUAAAUUAGUCGUUGGCGUUUAUAUCUGUUUGACGGGACUUAUUUUCUAUUUAGUGCAGCAGUGAGGAGAUUGCUGCACAAGCUAUAUUUUUACUAUUUUUUCGUGUUACUUGGGUUAAGAUUACCUCGGUGUUGUUGUGUGUGUUAUUACUCGCUUCUAUCUUUGUGCGUGAAUUAGGUGUGGUACCCGUUUUGUUUAAUAGAAUGCGUCUAUUUAUGAAUUAAUAAGUAAUUAUAUCGUGUGUGGUUUAUCUCAGGUUCGGCCCAACUGUUUAUUAAAAACAUUUCUGCUUUAUUAACGAUAAGCAGUAUGACCUGCCCGGUGUUUUAUUAACGGCCGCAGUAUUAUGACUGUGCGAAGGUAGCAUAAUUAAUUGCCCCAUAAUUGGGGGCUUGUUUGAAGGGUCGAAUGCGGCCGAAGCUAAAAUUACACCCAUCUGUGAAAUUAAUUCUGCGAGUACAGAAUCUGCAGUUAUUAGUUAGACGGAAAGACCCCAGGAUCUUUAAAUUUGUCUGGGGCAGAUUAAGCUGAUUUAGUUUAUUUAUGACCCUCUGGUUAAAGAGUUAAGUUACCCUGGGGAUAACAGAGUAAUAGUUUAUUAGAGCUCAAAUCGAUUAAACUGCUUGCUACCUCGAUGUUGACUUGGGUGCACCACCAGGCGCAGCCGUUUGGUGGUUAGGUCUGU
RNAcentral lists this ribosomal RNA (739 nucleotides) under Caryophyllaeides fennica. RNAcentral describes it as "partial 16S ribosomal RNA". It matches the Rfam family "Bacterial large subunit ribosomal RNA", at positions 1554 to 2580 of the family's 2925-position model. The record is from RNAcentral. Lineage: Eukaryota; Metazoa; Platyhelminthes; Cestoda; Caryophyllidea; Lytocestidae.